Molecule: ribosomal RNA, 400 nt
Filed under: uncultured bacterium
Lineage: Bacteria
Description: bacterial SSU rRNA
Rfam family: Bacterial small subunit ribosomal RNA
Source: RNAcentral
GGGGAAUCUUAGACAAUGGGCGAAAGCCUGAUCUAGCCAUGCCGCGUGGACGAUGAAGGCCUUAGGGUUGUAAAGUCCUUUCAGAUGGGAAGAUAAUGACGGUACCAUCAGAAGAAGCCCCGGCUAACUCCGUGCCAGCAGCCGCGGUAAUACGGAGGGGGCUAGCGUUGUUCGGAAUUACUGGGCGUAAAGCGCGCGUAGGCGGACUGGAAAGUUGGGGGUGAAAUCCCGGGGCUCAACCUCGGAACUGCCUUCAAAACUAUCAGUCUGGAGUUCGAGAGAGGUGAGUGGAAUUCCGAGUGUAGAGGUGAAAUUCGUAGAUAUUCGGAGGAACACCAGUGGCGAAGGCGGCUCACUGGCUCGAUACUGACGCUGAGGUGCGAAAGCGUGGGGAGCAAAC